CAUGAAAUUUACCGUGAAUGCAGUUUUUACUUUCUUUUUUAUUCACUUCCCCUGAGGAGGCGGAUUUUCUGUGUAAAAACGAAAGUGAAAAUUCAAAGCCUCCCACCACCGGGAGGCUUUUUUGUU
Molecule: regulatory RNA element, 126 nt
Organism: Shewanella amazonensis SB2B
Lineage: Bacteria; Pseudomonadati; Pseudomonadota; Gammaproteobacteria; Alteromonadales; Shewanellaceae
Rfam family: Phenylalanine leader peptide
Source: Rfam